Molecule: ribosomal RNA, 2151 nt
Filed under: Triticum aestivum (bread wheat)
Lineage: Eukaryota; Viridiplantae; Streptophyta; Magnoliopsida; Poales; Poaceae
Description: partial small subunit ribosomal RNA
Source: RNAcentral
AUGCCCCCGAAGGCAUCCAAGCGGUGGGUGCCGGUUAACCGGCCGGCCGUGGAGUCUCCUGCUGCGGGUAACCCGUCCAACGGAGUGCCCCCGAAGGUAUCCAAGCGAUGGGUGCCGGUUAACCGGCCGGCCGUGGCGUCUCCUGCUGCAGGCAACCCGUCCGACGGAAUGCCGCCGAAGGUAGUGCUGGUGAACCGACCCACGGGGAGGGGAACGGGGACGUCUCACGGGGCAGGCAAACCAUCGAACGUAAUCCCCUGGAAGGCAUCCAAGCGAUGGGUGCCGGUUAACCGGCCGGCCGUGCCGUCUCACGGGGCAGGCAAACCAUCGAACGUAAUCCCCUGGAAGGCAUCCAAGCGAUGGGUGCCGGUUAACCGGCCGGCCGUGCCGUCUCCUGUUGCAGGUAACCCGUCCGACGGAAUGCCCCCGAAGGUAGUGCCGGUGAACCGACCCAUUGGGACGGGGAAGUCUCGCAGGGCAGGCAAACCAUCGAACGAAAUCCCCCGGAAGCUAUCCAAGCAAUGGGUACCGGUUAACCGACCGCCGACUGCGGAGACAUCUCGCGGGGCAGGCGAACCCGCCGACAGGCUCAGCGACCUCCCAGACGCGCUGCUGCACCACAUCAUGUCGUUCCUGAAGGCAUGGGAGAUGGUCCGCACGUGUAGGCUCUCGCGAAGGUGGCGCAACCUCUGGGUCUCUGCGCCUUGCAUCGACGUCCGUGUGGGACUCCAUGAUAACCCACCUGAGGAAUUCGCCAGGUUUGUUAACCGGUUGCUGCGCAGCCGGGACGCGCUCACGCCACUGGACACGCUCCGUGUGCGCUCGGUUGGUGAGGAUGAUUUCUAUGAGACUUAUAACGAUGGCAAUGUCAAGAGCUGGAUUCGUACUGCUAUCAAGCGAAAAGCUUGUGCUAUUCAGCUUAACGGGCAUCUCCACAAGUACAUAGCACUGGACCGCAUAGACUUUGCCUCUUGCCAUCUCAAAAUCUUGAAACUGUCAUAUGUCGAGCUAGAUGAUAAAGUUGUGAAGCAGCUCUCUUCUCAGUGCCCUUUGGAAGAACUAGAGCUCAAGAGCUGUGUGGUAGGUGCCCAUGAGAUUUUGUCCUUCACUCUGAAGAGUUUGACCAUGGUCAAGUGCAAGCUUACUAUGAACCUCUCGGUGGAUGCUCCAAACCUCAUGUUCUUUCGUUGCAUCAAACCGGAGAAGUGGGUUCCUGUAUUCAAGAACUCUGUGUCUCUUAUCAGAGGUAGUAUCAUGCUUGAUGACUCUUUAUUGAGUCGUGAGUUUCAAAAGUACCAUGAGGAUGAGGAUGAAUUCCCUCAGACUAGUGAUGAAGAUGACGACAUGAAUAAUAAAAAUGGCCAGUACAAUGGUAAAAGUGCUGCUGCUGCUGAAAGUGGUGCUGAGGGCUUUCUGGAUAGUAUCUUGUUUGGCAGCUUUUCUGAUUACCGUGAUGGCUAUUCUGAUGAUUUUUAUGAUGGUUAUUCCGAUGACAUCAAAGAUGAUUAUGAUUAUGGAAGUGAUAUCAAUAGCGACGACGAUACAUACGAAUAUAGUGAAAUUGCAAAUGGCUCUGAAGAUAAAUACUUUGGAAAUGACUUUGAAUUCAGUAAGGGUGGUAAAAUGUCUGGCUGCAGUGGAAACUAUGGGUUUAACGACUAUAAAACCUUAGGUGGCCAACAUAUUCUUUGGAGCCUUUUAAAUGCCAGAAGCAUAGAGCUGCUAGGUCAUUCAGGAGAGGUGGUUCUGAGAAGGGAAUCAUUAAGUUGUCCAACUUUUAACAACCUGAAGACUUUGUCCCUUGGUGAAUGGUGCAUCAGUAGGGGUGCUAAUUUUGACAUACUAGUUCGCUUACUUCAUCAUACACCUUACUUGGAGAAUCUCUUUCUUCAACUUGAAAUGAACUUUGACAUCCAGAAUGCACUGGGAAGAUGUAAACCGAACGGAGGAUCAUUUUCUUGCAAACACCUUAGCAUGGUGAAGAUCAAAUGCACCAAGGAUGAUCCUAGAGUCCAUAUGCUGGCACAGUUGUUUAAGGCUAAUGACAUACCGCUUGAGAAGAUUUGUGUACAUCGGAGUGGGAGCUUCAAUCUUCGUAUGCUAAAGCUAAACAGGGAAAUUAACAUUGCCGAAAUGCGUGCCUGUCGGUAG